CGCCAUUAUUGCGAAUUUUUACGAAAGCCAGAUUGUGACAAGGUAAGGUUCUAUUUCUUUUUCUUCUUUUGGACCAGGUUUUUCAUAAAAAUUUUUCUCAUUUCAUCCUUAUCAAAUCCAACAGUCGAAUGUUUAAUAAUGAAUGCAGGUGUUGUAAAUGUAAAAAGCGAAAGUCCCAGAGUUUAUCCAAUCCACGUGGUUUGAUACUGCGACGGCAAUUUUGAAGGAAAAUGUCUGUUUGACAAACUAUUUUGUCACGUUUGUCUAAUUAGUUAUUAGUAGACUUGAAUGAAUUUUUAAAGAAACUUGUCAGGCAUACAAAGUACGUGUUCUCUUCUUUAGAAGUUAUUCGAAAUCGAUGAAAAUUUCCAAAUGAUACAGCCUACAAAGUUGACAAGAUAAAAAUUCAACCGCUGACAUCAAUGUAUUUUUCCUCUUCCUUCCACAACUACGUUGCUUUUAGCGAGACCCGUAAAUGUAUUCAGUGACGGUGUUCAAUUCAAUGCUUCAUUCAAGGUAAACCUUUUUUUUUUCUUAAUUCUUGGAAAUUAUGUGUUUCAUGUAGAAUUUAAACAUUUUGUGCAUUAGACUAGUGAAAUAUUAGUAGGGUUUCUGAGAUGACAACAUGCAAGGAUGACUAUUUUUAUUCGAUGUGGAUAUUAAUAAUAUUCCGUGUCAUCCAAUUGGAUAGCAUUUGCUCUUUUGUUUUGCAGCCUUGCUACGAUAUUUUCCAGCAACUUCGUGUUGGUAUUUAAAGGGCGUGGAUGAUUGCUGGGUGCUUUCCCAUAAGCUGAAUGUUUGUUUUCUUUAGAUACCAUUGACCUCUUUCGACCGCAACCUGAAAAAACAUUUGCAAUUUAUUUCUGUACUAAUGAACAAUCAAGUAUGCCAGUGACGCUGAAGUCUCUGACAUAGGACAAAUAAGAAUAUUUCUGUAAACAAGACCAAGUACGGUUACAGACGGCAGCAGAUGGCAAAGGUAAAGGUUUGCAUAAUUUUUUUUACAUUAAGGAACAUGCUAUUGUAAUUUAUUGUGCCAUACCUGCAAAAGCAUUGCAAAAUGGUCUUUUUUCUUUGUAUGACCAUUGUUCCACAUCUUCUAUCGAAUCAGAAUCAUUCUGGUUUGCCGUUAGUGGCUGCGACAAUGAAUUUGAAACGUAAAGACUGAUGACCAACCAGGCCAGUACUACCAAGCUGUAGAACAGCGGUCUCGUCAUACCUGCUACAGACAUUCUACUGAUUAUUUUAGAAAUGACAUAUGGUAUACAGUACAUGCUACAGCCAUGGGAAAGUUCGUUAAUUUCAAAGAAGGAAACGUUCUUCGUUAAUUUAACCUAUGACCAUUUGCUAAUAUUGAUCGCCGAUGACGGGAAACACGGCGUAAUGCUCUUAACGAGAAACAGUUUUUCACAAGGUAUAUUAUCUUGCAUAACUUACCUGAUUCGAAGUUGACUGAUUACAAAAAGGAGAAAUAGGAUAUGAGCUGAAAUCUGGAUUCGUUCACUUUCAAAAUCAGAAUUUCCAUCCAAAUUGCUAGAAAAUGUGUUGGACUCAGUACGGGAAGUAGUUGGUGACGAAAGUCUUGCUUCGUGAAUAACCUUAUAAGAGGUAUUAGAACAGUUUUUAUAUGUGUUCGAGGCUCCGCCCUGCCUAGCCGGUUCCCUACUCUUCUACCAAAUGCCAAUGCUCUUCUUUCUGCAACAUCACAUUUCAACAAUCAUUUUUGUGCAUUCACAUGCCGAGCAACGAGGAGAGUGACAGAAAAAUUUCCAGAUUAAUUUUUAAGCUUUAAGUUCUGGCAGCUGAUAACCAAAUUAUCGAAUUAAGAAUUAUUAUCGUCUGGUUCAAUCCUCCUUUUGAUGCUUAGGUUACUUUGUGCACACCAAACUAUUGUUUGGAUGUGAUCCAUACUUCUUUUAAUGUUACUUGGGGAACGGUUGUUUUCAAAAGGACUUCAUUCAGUUCCAAAUUUUCCAUCCGCUGAUCGAGAUAACGAAUAUGAUUCGAAUCAGGUUUUUGUACAAUAAAGAGGCUGUCGAAUUUUCAUCGACAAUCGGCACAUGAGCGGAUGAGCCAAAGUUUAGUUCGAUUUCACAAAAUUAAGGAUAUACUUCUUUACGCCUCAUCCCGACCCAACGUUCUCACAUAAAUUUUUCUCUCAUUUAACUAUACACAUUUCUUAGCCUUAAAAAAAAAGCGACACAUACGUUGCUGUUAGAACAACACAAACGUUCUUGUUCUAACAAAGCAAUAGCAAACCUCUUACUUAGAAAUCCAUUACUUAAUAAUCAGCAGGGUUCCUCUCUCACCCAAAACCUCUGUAGUGGGGCUGCGCGUAACGUUAUGACCACUUUAGCGUUAAACUGAUGCACUAAUAACACCCGUCGCGGGAUAUCCAUUUCUUCCAUUUACUACUUGUGCAUUUUCCCUGAUGAUGUGUAGUCCAAUGACAUGCUGGGGAGCAUAAUGAGCAGUAGCUUCUACUGUAGACCGUUAUGGUGGCGUACGUAAACCAGACAUGGGAGUUUGAUUACUGAUUGUAAUAAAAACAAUGCUGAUAAAAAAAAAUGUAAAUGCUUCCGAUUCUUACUACUACAAAAACAAGGGCGAAUAUGAUCCAAUAGUGAUGAAAACUACUUUUCCUCCCUGUAAUGUUAGAAAGGAUAAAGAUAGACGUUUAGGAAUUUCCGAUAGGGAUUCUUGCAAAACUACAUGUCUCACUAGUUUCCCGAUAGGGAUUCUUGCAAAACGGAAUUCCUCCUCAUUUCAUCUCAACCAACCCACGUUUUUUCUAAGAUUUUUCCCGAUAGAUGGCGCCAUUUUCGAAAAGGGUACUCCAUUAAUCUUUUAUAUCUUAUCUUCCCAAGUUAGAACGUGGUUAUUGUAUCGUCUUGUAAAGCAGAUAUCGCUGAAGUUAAUGACGAGUACCCCGUAAUUUUAGGCUGAACGGUGAGAGAUUGCCGAGCAAUUUAGAAGGCCGACCCGAGUUUUGGAUAUAUAAUUUUUUACGAUAGAUGGCGUUGAGACGAAAAAUUACGAAAACAAGGCGAAAUCAGGCCGCGAACUUACUAUUGAAGGCCGGGCUUCCGGAGUCGCCUAGCAACAGACUUCAUUUCGUUUAGGUUAGGUCGUUGUGUUUGUGUUUCGUUAAUCCCGUUGCUUUGCCGCGUGUGGAACUUAUUCAUCGCUUUGGUGUUGAGCGGGGAGCUAUUAAUGUUAUUCUGGGGCAUAUUCAACUGAAUGGCUUUGUUGGAGAGGUGUUAAGUGGGGUGCUAAUAAAUAUUCAGUGCGUUCCGUUUUCAACAUCUUUUGGCUACGCGUUACUCGUUAAGUUAAUACAAUGAAAAUUUGCCAUUUUUUCGUACCAACCUGAACGACAAUCUUUUUCACGACGCACGAUUGUUUGAAGAUUGAUUUUCACUAUACGUCAUCAUUUGAAUGGUGCAGUUUCUAGCCGCAGCUCUGCAGUGUGCAAAAAUUGGAGGUGGCAAAAAUCUGCUUGUGGUGCUGAUCUGCAAAUUGCUGGCUUCAUGAAAGUAAUCUUGAAAUGACCUAUCAACAGACUACUGCAGUAUUAAAAUACUCUAACCCUCAAGGAAAUUUGCAGCUGUGGACUUUCUUUAGAUGACUCUUGUAUCAGAAAUAUUUUCCUUCUUUUUGGAACAAGUAACAUAGGAUGUCUUGAUGCCAACAAAGUGUGAUUGGAAAGAUUGUAAAAAGAUAUUAAGCAGGAGAAACCUAAAGUUGGAGGACGAUACAUUUGUUUCCCAUUACUAGUUUUGUAAAACAAAUGGUAAAUUGGUAAAAUGAAACAACAUAUUACCUAUUACUUUAGAUCAAUUGUUUUCACAAGUGAAGAUUGAUUCCACAAUCUGCAACUUCUCAGGCAGACACCCAUCCACAAAGCCAUGGGCAAUCCAUACAGGGUAACGACUCGUCGUGAGUGCAGACCAUCCAUAUUGAUAACGGUUUCCUGCGUAAAGAUGAAUCCGUGUAGGUCGUCAAUAGUAUACAGCCAUACGGGAUCAUUUACGCCGAACAACUGUUCAUGGAAGAUGAUUUCGGUGAGACGCAAGUGCUGAUCGUUUGGUGGUCGAUUACGCCAACAUGGCAGCCAAGGAACAUGCCUUGCUCAAUCGGAUUGAAAUCGCGAUGUCGGAAGAAGAGCGUCUUCUUCUGGAAGAACUGUCCAUUCGCAACCAUUAUGUUGCCACGCUACUGCCUAUUCGCAUUGUCGGUGUUCAGGGAGAUGGAGAUUGCCGAACUUAUAUUCCUGGCACCUAUUUACCUGAAGAGGUUGUAGACAAGAUGGUUGAAGCCGUCUUAACUGUUCCAGGUACCUGACGGCGAAACCACUCCGGGAGAACGGAGUGGGAAUGAUUUGAUUUACGAACGUUGAGUGCAGUUGUUUUUCGUCUAACAAAUUAACAUUGUUAAUGUGCAGCUAGAUGGGUUGUUGUUGCUCUCCCUUGUAAAUCUACCCUUUUUCGCCCAAUUGUUAAUAUGAUUCUUUUGGGAACGUUCCGGUGUCUCCCAAAAACAAGUGGAAGACCAUUCGAGGCGUUAUGCCAUUUCCUGAAAUUGAACAUUUAGAAAAUGUGGUAUAUGUUUGCCAAUUGUUUAGAUCUAUUCAGAGUGGUACCAUAAAGUAUGACUGUAGGAAAGGGUACAUAGGCUUCUAAAAGUGAAGAACAGCUCUGACGUCUUUGGUAAGCGGAAAAGGUACUGCAAAGAGAAGCGUCACAUGACGAUUUUAAGGAUGGACCCUUUCGUUUGCUUUGCCUAAUGAAUUUAUGCUUGGAACUGACAGGUGGCGUUUAGCAGUGGCACCCAAUCUUUGUUCUUAAAAGCCAGAGGUGUUCUUCACGUUUCAGGGGGAUUGAUUGAUGAUACUUGUUGGUUAAACCAUGAAGAAUACCAAUAGAUGGAUAAGUGGAGGGUGAGCAGACGAACCAUUGAAAGAGUCCUGCACAGUCUAGCUGCAUCCAGGCAGAUACUAGUAGAACCCGAAACAUUGUUUUGACAACUUCUGUCAUUUUUCGGUUGCAGGUUUUCACUAAAUAUUAAUUAAGUAAGGGGUUUAAUCGUGUUAUAUGUAGGAUUUUUCGAUUCAAGUCUAUUUAGGUGUCAGAACUGGAAUUGUAAGUUCAGAAUUUUUAAAACACCGCACAGCUUUUAUUAACAAUAUUUUGUUUUUUCAACUAUCAAAAUCUUGUAAAUCAUUUAAAGGAGAACAGAGCUCUUUGUUAAAUUUCCGAAAUUUCGACUUCCGGUUUUGCUUCCGGUUUUAAAAUGUUAAAUAACUCUUUAUUUGUUGGUUUGUCAGAAAAAAGAUUUACAUUUUCGUGAUACUCAUCAAAUUUGGGGUAGACUCCAUGUGUCAGCUUAAAAUACCCGAAAAUCGUCAAAAAUCGCAAAUUUUUCUGAACAUGAAAAAUCGCGUUUUUGGUCAAAUCCGACUUUUGGCUAAAAACACGUCAUUCCGACCCCAAAUUUGAUAAUAAUCACGAAAAUCCUAUUCGUUUUGUUAUAGGAGCCCUAUUUCCGGAGAUAUUUGAUACUCCCUGUUACUUCCGGUAAAUUUUCGUGACAAUCUGCGAAAAGUAAAAAAUUUGCUGUAUUGUUCUAACAAUUUCAAAUACUUUUCUCGCAUGCGUUAGGGUGUGGUAGCUAUUAUUCCGUGUUUUUCUUGCUUUCAACACUACAGACUGAUCCUACCAGCUACGACAAGUUUUACCUACAAAUUUUUUGCGUUUCAUGCUGCAACUAGUAGUUGAUAUCCUAGGAUGUUAUGCCUAAAAUUGGAAUUCAGCUAUCAGAGAUUUGCAAAAGCAAAGCACUUAACAGCAAAUAUUGUACUUAUUUCAACAUUCAAAAUAAAAUAAAAUUUUGUGUUCUAGGCAGAAACUCUAGAUGGCGUUAAUGUGUGUAUGAUGAAGAUUACGAGUGACAAGUUAAAUUGUCUGUUUUGUGUUUCAAAGGAUUUUUCAUAAAAAAAUUUCAGAUUGCUUUUUGUAUGUGGUGGUGUUUCACCUUGACAGCUGCCGAACCAGCAGGCAGCAGCCUACAUUCCUGUCAUCAAUGUACCACAAGGGAUUCUGACACUUUAAGAAGGCUACUAUUCCUCACAUGAAGAUCGCCAUCCAGUUCAAGUACUGUUAAUGGACCUCAAGCCUUUUGUUUAAGCUUAGUGAUGUGUUCUUUCAUCAGUCAACCACAGAGUCUUCAUCUACUUUGUGUUGCUAAUCAUCAGCCCUCAGCAUCACAGGUAUCCAGAUUUCCAAGCUUCUCUGAUUAGCCAAAAAUCAUCCAUACACUUCAGCUUUUUAUUGUGUAGUUCUUGUAGGCUUCUCUUUCUCUCUUCUUAAUCUGUUGAAUGCCAACAUGGAGUAAGGUUCAUGUUCGUUGCUUUACCAUGAAGAUUGUCAUUGCUAGUCCUGCUGUUCUUCUCUCCGUUACUUAGCCAGCUAACAUGGAUAGGCUUUAACACCAACUCCAUUUUUUUGGAUUGCAAAUGUUCAUCUUCCUUCGGUAUAACACUGUCGUUUCGACACUUUUUGUAGUUUCGCCCCCAGUGGACCACGCAACUACAUUUUCUUCAUCUUCCUUUCGUUGUCUACGCCUUCACCUCAUCGCUGUCUUCGUCGACGUCUUCACCUUCAUCUCCGUCUCCUCGUCGUCUUGGCCGUCUUCGCCUUCAUCUCCGUCUCGUCGUCGUCUUGGCCGUCUUCGCCUUCAUCUCCGUCUCGUCGUCGUCUUGGCCGUCUUCGCCUUCAUCUCUGUCUCGUCGUCGUCUUGGCCGUCUUCGCCGUCUUCGCCUUUAUGUCCGUCUCGUCGUCGUCUUGGCCGUCUUCGUCCACGCCAUCACCGUCCACGCCAUCACCGUCUUUGUCCACGCCAUCAUCUCGUCGCCGGCUUCGUCUUCGCCCUCUUCGCCCUUCACCUUCGCCCUUCACGUAGGGAGUUCAGCGUGGAUCGUCGCCAUGGUAUUGUUUUGUUUUGCAUUGUAAUGUUUAAGUUAACCCGUUGGCUGCCACCCCGUUUGCGUCCCAUUUUUUUUGUAGCUUGUAGGGACCGGCCGCAAUGGCCUUCGCCGCAAGGCGCCUUAG
Daphnia magna is the source of this 7109-nucleotide RNA transcript. RefSeq lists it as uncharacterized. The record is from RefSeq and is a predicted model, not a curated record. The transcript is spliced from 13 exons. Lineage: Eukaryota; Metazoa; Arthropoda; Branchiopoda; Diplostraca; Daphniidae.